UCCCAUUUACCACCCACGAUACUAUUGCGGUUCAUCUCAACUCCCCAAAAUUUUCUCCAGAAAGCUAAACUAAAAAUUUCAUUCCCAAUCCCCCAAAUCAAAAAAUUUAAGGGUUCCCUUCAAACUAAAAUCGCCGAGUUCCCUUCAAUCCAAAUUUAUCGAGGUCAUCUGCGGUUUUUCUAGUGUCAUCUCUGGAAAAUCUUUACUGACGACAAAAUUCAAUUGUGGAGGAUUUGGAUGUUAGUGUUGUGAUUUGCGUUUUACAGGUUUAUGAAUUGGGAAUUUGCGAUUUGGCAUGUGUAAAUGGGAUGCAGUCCAGAAGGAUUUUGAAGGAUCUCAAGGUAGAGUACAUUAAUAAUCCGGCUUCAGGGAACUGACUGAUAGAUCGAGAAUUCGAGCAGCAGGACAAGGGAGCUAUUAGGAUAAGGGAGCUAUCAGGAACAACAAUAUUGAUGUAGGAUUGUACUUUCAGACAUCAGGUGAGUUUUCCUCUUAUUUCUGUAAUGUCAUCCUAUUCAAGUUCAUCUGCAUCUUCUUCUUUCUCGAUCUUAUUCUUGUAAGUUGCUAAAUGUAUAGAACUAAUGGUAUCGUCUCAUUCCACACACUACUUGGCUCUGAUUCUGGUACUUGAAAUAAGUUAUAUUCUGUGAAGUUAAGCAUUCAUAUAGUAUUUCAUUUUUCCCUCAAAAGGUUAGUUUCGGCGAUUUGGAUAUACUCUUGCAGGUUAAGGAGCUGCAUAGGUUGUAUAGUGUACAAAGAAGGAAAAUGAACGAGCUAAAACAAGAAACCAAGCGACCAACCACAUAUUAUCAAAAUUACUUGAAAAAUUAUUGAUCUUCCGUGGAUCAAAUUUUAUCAAGGGAAAGCAAAGGUUGGAGUUGCUCAACUGAUACUGCUGCCUGCAGAUCAUCAGUAGCAAACUAUUUUGACCUUGAAAGACGUAUUCAUAAAAAUUGCAUUGAUAGUGGAUAAUAUGAUACUGGAUUCAUGAAACGAGAUCAUCGAUCACAAGAAUUCAUGAAGAUGUAUAUUUCAAAAUAAUGGUCUAGUGAUCAAGAUCAAAUCAAAGAAGUGAGAACUCAUUGACAAAUGAAGUGAGAGCUCACUGGGUGGGUCAUGUUAUUUUUAUUUAUUUUUUGUGUAACUUUUUCCUUGGUGUACAACAAUGUAUAUUAUACAUGGUUAGACUCU
Long non-coding RNA from Spinacia oleracea (spinach), 1191 nucleotides. RefSeq lists it as uncharacterized. The record is from RefSeq and is a predicted model, not a curated record. The transcript has 3 exons. NCBI's taxonomy places the organism in Eukaryota, Viridiplantae, Streptophyta, Magnoliopsida, Caryophyllales, Amaranthaceae.